Molecule: RNase P RNA, 437 nt
Filed under: Thermodesulfovibrio sp. RBG_19FT_COMBO_41_18
Lineage: Bacteria; Pseudomonadati; Nitrospirota; Thermodesulfovibrionia; Thermodesulfovibrionales; Thermodesulfovibrionaceae
Description: RNase P RNA component class A
Rfam family: Bacterial RNase P class A
About the family: Ribonuclease P (RNase P) is a ubiquitous endoribonuclease, found in archaea, bacteria and eukarya as well as chloroplasts and mitochondria. Its best characterised activity is the generation of mature 5'-ends of tRNAs by cleaving the 5'-leader elements of precursor-tRNAs.
Source: RNAcentral
CAGAGCAGGAUAGUGGUCGCCCCGGACCAUCUAUAAAUAGAAGGUGCGGGGAGGAAAGUCCGAGCUCUACAGGGUAAGGCGCUCCAUAAUACGGAGUCCCGAUAUAUCGGGAAGGAAAGUGCCACAGAAAGGGAAACCGUCCCGCACUUUUUAGAAAGUGCGGGGUAAGGGUGAAAAGGUGAGGUAAGAGCUCACCAGUUGAGAUGGUGACAUCUUAAGCUUGGAAAACCCCGCUUUGAGCAAGGUCGAAUAGGUUCCGCCUUGAGAAGGGCCCCUUCGAAUCCCCGCUCCGGCUUUGUCGGGAUCGGGGAGGCGGAAUGGGUAGCGACCGCAAGAGUCCGGCGGCAACACCGGACCUUAGAUGAAUGACCACAUAAAUGGGGCGCUAUCUGAUAGUGCUCCAUAAACAGAACUCGGCUUAUAGCCUGCUCUGACAC